Molecule: transfer RNA, 62 nt
Filed under: Grandidierella fasciata
Lineage: Eukaryota; Metazoa; Arthropoda; Malacostraca; Amphipoda; Corophiidae
Description: tRNA-Asp
Source: RNAcentral
AAAAACUUAGUUAAAUUCAUAACAUUAACUUGUCAAGUUAAAAUUACUGAGAGUAGUUUUUA